UACAGAGGUCCCGAGCGUUGUUCGGAUUCACUGGGCGUAAAGGGUGCGUAGGUGGUGAGGUAAGUCGGAUGUGAAAUCUCCGAGCUCAACUCGGAAAUGGCAUUGGAAACUACCUUGCUCGAGGGUUGGAGGGGGGGACUGGAAUGCUUGGUGUAGCAGUGAAAUGCGUAGAUAUCAAGCGGAACACCAGUGGCGAAGGCGAGUCCCUGGACAACUCCUGACACUGAGGCACGAAAGCUAGGGGGAGCAAACAGG
Molecule: ribosomal RNA, 255 nt
Filed under: uncultured bacterium
Lineage: Bacteria
Description: partial 16S ribosomal RNA
Rfam family: Bacterial small subunit ribosomal RNA
Source: RNAcentral